GAUGAACGCUAGCUACAGGCUUAACACAUGCAAGUCGAGGGGCAGCAUUUUUAUAGCAAUAUAAAAGAUGGCGACCGGCGCACGGGUGAGUAACACGUAUCCAACCUGCCGAUAACUCGGGGAUAACCCUUCGAAAGAAGGCCUAAUACCCGAUGGCAUAUCCCUUCCGCCUGGUGGGGAUAUUAAAGAACUUCGGUUAUCGAUGGGGAUGCGUUCCAUUAGCUUGUUGGCGGGGUAACGGCCCACCAAGGCAUCGAUGGAUAGGGGUUCUGAGAGGAAGGUCCCCCACAUUGGAACUGAGACACGGUCCAAACUCCUACGGGAGGCAGCAGUGAGGAAUAUUGGUCAAUGGACGAGAGUCUGAACCAGCCAAGUAGCGUGAAGGAUGAAGGUCCUAUGGAUUGUAAACUUCUUUUAUACGGGAAUAAAGUGCAGUAUGCAUACUGUUUUGUAUGUACCGUAUGAAUAAGGAUCGGCUAACUCCGUGCCAGCAGCCGCGGUAAUACGGAGGAUCCGAGCGUUAUCCGGAUUUAUUGGGUUUAAAGGGAGCGUANGCGGAUGCUUAAGUCAGUUGUGAAAGUUUGCGGCUCAACCGUAAAAUUGCAGUUGAUACUGGGCGUCUUGAGUACAGUAGAGGCAGGCGGA
RNAcentral lists this ribosomal RNA (645 nucleotides) under uncultured Bacteroides sp. RNAcentral describes it as "bacterial SSU rRNA". It matches the Rfam family "Bacterial small subunit ribosomal RNA", at positions 28 to 665 of the family's 1533-position model. The record is from RNAcentral. Lineage: Bacteria; Pseudomonadati; Bacteroidota; Bacteroidia; Bacteroidales; Bacteroidaceae.